AUUCGAAACGGAGGUUCAAUCCUCCGUCCGGCGGAAUGGUGCCCGUCGCUGAUGAUGAUAGCCAGUC
This 67-nucleotide non-coding RNA is filed under the name Sporolactobacillus sp. THM7-7. The record is from RNAcentral. Lineage: Bacteria; Bacillati; Bacillota; Bacilli; Caryophanales; Sporolactobacillaceae.